UACGUAGGGACCGAGCGUUGUCCGGAAUCAUUGGGCGUAAAGAGCGUGUAGGCGGCUUGCUAAGUCUUGCGUGAAAUCUCGGGGCUCAACCCCGAGCGGUCGUGGGAAACUGGCAGGCUAGAGUGCGGGAGAGGAGAAUGGAAUUCCUGGUGUAGCGGUGAAAUGCGCAGAUAUCAGGAAGAACACCCGUGGCGAAGGCGGUUCUCUGGAACGCAACUGACGCUGAGACGCGAAAGCGUGGGAGCAAACAGG
RNAcentral lists this ribosomal RNA (252 nucleotides) under uncultured bacterium. RNAcentral's name for it is "partial 16S ribosomal RNA". It matches the Rfam family "Bacterial small subunit ribosomal RNA", at positions 524 to 776 of the family's 1533-position model. The record is from RNAcentral.